AACUAAAUUAAAUAAGAAUGGAAAAGAAAAAAAAAUCUUAAUUCUCUAUAUACGUAACAAUCUACAUAAAUGUAUAUAUCCUUUGAAGUUGGAAAACAGAAGCUUUACCAAUUAUUUGGUUAAAGUGAGGGGAAAAAAGGGCAGAAAGAAUCAAUGUGUUGUAGUUAGGAAUUAAUCAAGAAGGCUGUUUGCCAGAGCUUAGGACGGAGUCCUCUAGAAAUUGGGUAAGUUGUGAAGUGUACAAUUCUG
Molecule: unclassified non-coding RNA, 249 nt
Filed under: Hevea brasiliensis (rubber tree)
Lineage: Eukaryota; Viridiplantae; Streptophyta; Magnoliopsida; Malpighiales; Euphorbiaceae
Source: RNAcentral